AGCGAACGCUGGCGGCAGGCUUAACACAUGCAAGUCGAACGGGCACCUUCGGGUGUCAGUGGCAGACGGGUGAGUAACACGUGGGAACGUACCCUUCGGUUCGGAAUAACUCUGGGAAACUAGAGCUAAUACCGGAUACGCCCUUUUGGGGAAAGGUUUACUGCCGAAGGAUCGGCCCGCGUCUGAUUAGCUAGUUGGUGGGGUAACGGCCUACCAAGGCGACGAUCAGUAGCUGGUCUGAGAGGAUGAUCAGCCACACUGGGACUGAGACACGGCCCAGACUCCUACGGGAGGCAGCAGUGGGGAAUAUUGGACAAUGGGCGCAAGCCUGAUCCAGCCAUGCCGCGUGAGUGAUGAAGGCCUUAGGGUUGUAAAGCUC
RNAcentral lists this ribosomal RNA (379 nucleotides) under uncultured bacterium. RNAcentral's name for it is "bacterial SSU rRNA". It matches the Rfam family "Bacterial small subunit ribosomal RNA", at positions 29 to 433 of the family's 1533-position model. The record is from RNAcentral.